AGCGAACGCUGGCGGCAGGCUUAACACAUGCAAGUCGAGCGGGCGUAGCAAUACGUCAGCGGCAGACGGGUGAGUAACGCGUGGGAACGUACCUUUUGGUUCGGGAUAACCCAGGGAAACUUGGGCUAAUACCGGAUAAGCCCUUACGGGGAAAGAUUUAUCGCCGAAAGAUCGGCCCGCGUCUGAUUAGCUAGUUGGUGAGGUAACGGCUCACCAAGGCGACGAUCAGUAGCUGGUCNGAGAGGAUGAUC
Molecule: ribosomal RNA, 251 nt
Filed under: uncultured bacterium
Lineage: Bacteria
Description: partial 16S ribosomal RNA
Rfam family: Bacterial small subunit ribosomal RNA
Source: RNAcentral